AGGACGAACGCUGGCGGCGUGCUUAACACAUGCAAGUCAAGGGGGCCCAGCAAUGGGCAACCGGCGAACGGGUGCGUAGCACGUGAGCAACCUACCGAAAUGUGGGGGAUAGCCGGCCUAACGGCCGAGUAAUACCGCAUACGCUCUCGAUGAGGCAUUUCAUUGAGAGGAAACCUACGGGACAUUUCGAGGGGCUCGCGGCCUAUCAGCUAGUUGGAGAGGUAACGCUCACCAAGGCAACGACGGGUAGC
RNAcentral lists this ribosomal RNA (251 nucleotides) under uncultured soil bacterium. Its description in RNAcentral is "partial 16S ribosomal RNA". It matches the Rfam family "Bacterial small subunit ribosomal RNA", at positions 26 to 287 of the family's 1533-position model. The record is from RNAcentral.